RNAcentral lists this transfer RNA (67 nucleotides) under Marmota monax (woodchuck). RNAcentral describes it as "tRNA.Ala". The record is from RNAcentral. Lineage: Eukaryota; Metazoa; Chordata; Mammalia; Rodentia; Sciuridae.
GGUUUUGGCUCAGUGGUAAAGUGCUUGCCUGGCAUGUGUGAGGCACUGGGUUCGAUACUCAGCACCA